GACGAACGCUGGCGGCGUGCUUAACACAUGCAAGUCGAACGGAAAGGCCCUGCUUUUGUGGGGUGCUCGAGUGGCGAACGGGUGAGUAACACGUGAGUAACCUGCCCUUGACUUUGGGAUAACUUCAGGAAACUGGGGCUAAUACCGGAUAGGAGCUCCUGCUGCAUGGGGGGGGUUGGAAAGUUUCGGCGGUUGGGGCUGGACUCGCGGCUUAUCAGCUUGUUGGUGGGGUAGUGGCUUACCAAGGCUUUGACGGGUAGCCGGCCUGAGAGGGUGACCGGCCACAUUGCGACUGCGAUACGGCCCAGACUCCUACGGGAGGCAGCAGUGGGGAAUAUUACAGAAUGGGCGGACGCCUGAUGCAGAGACGCCGCGUGCGGGAUGACGGCCUUCGGGUUGUAAACCGAUUUCGCCUGUGACGAAGCGUGAGUGACGGUAAUGGGUAAAGAAGCACCGGCUAACUACGUG
Molecule: ribosomal RNA, 468 nt
Filed under: uncultured bacterium
Lineage: Bacteria
Description: partial 16S ribosomal RNA
Rfam family: Bacterial small subunit ribosomal RNA
Source: RNAcentral